GACGAACGCUGGCGGCGUGCUUAACACAUGCAAGUCGAACGGAAAGGCCCUGCUUUUGUGGGGUGCUCGAGUGGCGAACGGGUGAGUAACACGUGAGUAACCUACCCUUGACUUUGGGAUAACUUCAGGAAACUGGGGCUAAUACCGGAUAGGAGCUCCUGCCGCAUGGUGGGGGUUGGAAAGUUUCGGCGGUUGGGGAUGGACUCGCGGCUUAUCAGCUUGUUGGUGGGGUAGUGGCUUACCAAGGCUUUGACGGGUAGCCGGCCUGAGAGGGUGACCGGCCACAUUGGGACUGAGAUACGGCCCAGACUCCUACGGGAGGCAGCAGUGGGAAAUAUUGCACAAUGGGCGGAAGCCUGAUGCAGCAACGCCGCGUGCGGGAUGACGGCCUUCGGGUUGUAAACCGAUUUCGCCUGUGACGAAGCGUGAGUGACGGUAAUGGGUAAAGAAGCACCGGCUAACUACGUG
RNAcentral lists this ribosomal RNA (468 nucleotides) under uncultured bacterium. RNAcentral describes it as "partial 16S ribosomal RNA". It matches the Rfam family "Bacterial small subunit ribosomal RNA", at positions 28 to 507 of the family's 1533-position model. The record is from RNAcentral.